Triticum urartu is the source of this 981-nucleotide non-coding RNA. The record is from RefSeq and is a predicted model, not a curated record. Lineage: Eukaryota; Viridiplantae; Streptophyta; Magnoliopsida; Poales; Poaceae.
UUUCAUGCUGAUUUCAUUUCUCAUUUCAUUGAUCAUCCGUGUUACUCCUUUGACAAAUGAUAUUUAUAGUACUUCUGGAUGACAAAGACUUUGAGUUCUGUGUGAAGCUCCAAAAGGAAUACCUAUAAGACUCCUUCAUCAACUUAGUAAGAUUGCAUAUGCCCUUUGUGUUGCACAGGUCCAACGCCUUGCUCCUCUACUCAUAGUGAAAAAAAACUUAGAUUCAAGAUUUAUUUCUGUACUGGAUGAUAGCAGUGAUUAGUGGAUUACUGUCACACGCUGCUGUUGUCAUCCAUAUCUCCUCAAGCGCCUUAGGUUUGUGAUGCGAAAGUUGUUGUACAUAUGUAAAUUGUUCUGUUCUUCUUUCGCCAAAACAUUAAUAAGCCCGCGAUACACUUUGCUUCUUUUUUAUCUAAUGUCUAUUUGUAGACUAAGUGUUUUAUUUAUGAUAGUGGAUUUCUGGCGUACAUGUGAAUAUCUCAUGUAUAUACAAUCAGUACACUCACCUGGACGAGAAUGGUGGCAAGCAGAGCGGGGUUGCGUCUUGUCCUUCUAGCGUCGAAGGUCCGGUGCACCCAUGGGUGUGCCUUUGCUAGUUUCUGACUGUCACAAAGAAGUCAGAGCUGUGGGCGGCGAGGCCACUGCGGCAACGAUGACUAUGAGGACAGUUUUCAGCAAGCGGUGCUCCCCGAAUGUUGCGUUGAACUACGUCUUUGCGUGGCUUGCAACCUUCUCCUAUGAAGCCCGUAUGCAAAAUCAAAACUGUCAUGUCCUUGGUGUUGUGCUCGACUAUUCAUUGUUGCUUUGUGGCUCCGUGCUUCCUCUCCACAGUUAUAUCGUUUUUUGUGAUGUAAUCUUAUUAGUGGUUGGGUCAUCCAUGCGAGCCCCUUCUGAAGUUUGUAGUCUAGGUUAGAUACAUCCGUAUGUAGACAAAUUGAAGACAAAUAAUAUGGAAAGGAGGGAGUAUAUUAUUUGACUCAA